RNAcentral lists this ribosomal RNA (247 nucleotides) under uncultured bacterium. RNAcentral describes it as "partial 16S ribosomal RNA". It matches the Rfam family "Bacterial small subunit ribosomal RNA", at positions 525 to 772 of the family's 1533-position model. The record is from RNAcentral.
ACGGAGGAUGCGAGCGUUAUCCGGAUUUAUUGGGUUUAAAGGGUGCGCAGGCGGAUUUUUAAGUCAGCGGUCAAAUCGUGGGGCUCAACCCCAUCCAGCCGUUGAAACUGGGGAUCUAGAGUGUGCGAGAGGUAUGCGGAAUGCGUGGUGUAGCGGUGAAAUGCAUAGAUAUCACGCAGAACCCCGAUUGCGAAGGCAGCAUACCGGUGCACAACUGACGCUCAGGCACGAAAGCGUGGGUAUCGAA